Molecule: long non-coding RNA, 2453 nt
Filed under: Penaeus chinensis
Lineage: Eukaryota; Metazoa; Arthropoda; Malacostraca; Decapoda; Penaeidae
Description: uncharacterized LOC125041419, transcript variant X2
Source: RNAcentral
ACAGUAAUAGUGGGUUACUAUAUUCCGCUGUUCUGUAUAAAAGAGUUACACCGCUGCUUAUGCGCUUUCACUUGCUUGCUGAAAGAAGGAAAUGUUUCGACGUCAUUAAUGCGUGAACCCAUACAGUACCUGCCCUUCUCGUUAGCGGAAGUCGAACAAAGAGAGGAAAAAUCGGAGUCUAACGCUCUCAACAUCCUCAGGUUCAAGUGACAAGUCAACCCUCUGCCGGAUGUACAGGUCCUUCCCGCAUCCGGGGGUUGAAGGGACGAGGUGUGGCAAUGAUACUCCAAGAAGUGACGUUGCGAUGACGUUUAGCGACCUACAACGCUGAACCUCAAAAUUUCGCUCGAAUUUCACGAAAGAAGAAACAGCGGGCCUAGUUGGUGCCGGUGGGUUAUCGCUCACCUUCUUAUUGAUUUUUAUGCUGAUGAUAUCGUUUGACAGUUCUUCCUCAUCUGGCGUUGUGAGUCAGAAAUAGCAAACUUCAAUAGUAUACAAGAAGAGGAAGCUAAUUUAGUAUGCAGUAUUGUACAUAGUUGCCGUGCGUGUGCCUUCGUAUCAGGUCUAUGUUAUCUGUUUUGAUUUUGUCUAAACCGCUUAAUAUUUAAUACUUUUGUGGAGUACAAAAUAUAUAACAAAACACAUUAUAAGUAUAAAUAAUUCUAAAGUAGAACACUGCGCACCCAUAACGGCUAUAUUGGAAAGUAGUAGUGCAUCGGUUUUUUAAAGCAGAUGCUACACAGCCGAGCAACAGUUCAAAUUCGACGCGAACUUGACGCGGGAAGUGUAGGUCAGUAGAUCAAUUUUGAGAGAGGCAGACCGGCAAAGCGCGGGAAAAGGCCUACCAACCUCACAAACGAUGCGUGCGCUGGCCAUCAUUCGGCGUUUACGGAUUCCGGCACGCGCUUCCGCAUUUUACGUCAGUAGUUCUUUUUACGUCGACAGUCUCAGAUGUAUUGCAGUCAUUUUUAUUACUCCUGGAAAUGUUUUGGGAAUACGAUUAAACGUCUAUAAUGACUCCGUCUUUUGAAUAUUAGUUGCAGUAAUAAUUUUAUGCCAAUGGCAUGUUAAAACAGAUAGGAUGUUUUAUAUGUUAACAGUUACAAUUAAUUAAAAAAAAGAAGGACUAAGGGUGGGGAGGGUGUUAUAUGAUAGCUUUAAUAUUUUCCUCACAAAUAUUUUUGAUUGUACAUCGAAGGUUUUGAUGAUGCUGGAGAUGAAUUCCAGCUAUUUUGAAUCAGAAAUCACUUCUACUUUUAUUAUUAUUAACAUGCUAAUUUCAGCAACGUGAAUGGCAGAAGUUAACCCUUUCGUGGAGACACUUGAGAGGGAGGCUUCUGCGCUAUAGAUUUAUUAAAACAAAGGAGUUAACCCUUUCCAUAUUUAAUAGAUAUAGUAAAUUUGAUGGAAGAAGACAAUCCUAGACCCGCUUUCAAGAAUUUUAAACGGAAAUUUCAUUAUUCUGAUCGCUAGUAAGCUAGACAAAUAACUGUUUUGUCAUUUCAGUUCAGUUCGGACCUAGAAAUGUUCCGGUAAAAUAAUAUAUAGCGGCAACAAAUUUUGUGGCUCCGGGUAAUUUGCCCCCUUUACUGAAAAGGGCCGACUUGGGUAGCUAUCACUAAUUUCAACAUUUUGACGGCUAUUAUUUUGUUGUACUGUGGCUACUAGAAUAGAUUUUGUAAUCAGCUUUAUAAGAAAAAAAAAAUAAGUAUGAAGAGGACAAGUAGUAGCAGAAUUAGCAACUUCAAGUUUUACUACGGGCCGAGGCACAUACUUACUGAAAGUAUUGCAAAUAAGACAGUAUAUUUACAAAUUUAUUUUGUAUUUUUUGGACGCACACUUGCAAUAAACACCAAAGGGCACGGCAAAUAUAGACACGCACACACAAGCACACGCAAAUAUUCGUACAUCUAAACUGAAACACACCCUGUGUUUCAUUUUAUCUUCUUGUAUUGCAUUGUUUCUGUUGAUAUGAUAUACAUUUAUGUAUGUGUUGUGUUGCUGUGUGUGUAUAUAUGUAUAUAUAUAUGACUGUGCAUGAGAAAAAUACACAUAAAGGUGACCGAUGUUGAGCACGUUGGAAUGUAAUUGACAUGGCAUCAGGUCAUAUCGCAAUGAAUAGACUUCAUUAUUGAUAGAUAUAAUUGUCUAUUCAUUUGCGUGUGCUUUUCAUUAAUCAUAACCUCGACGCUUGAGUUUUUUAUGAUAGUAAAGUAAGUGCGAGUCCACAGGGGAAAUCCAUAUGUCAGCGAUUUGUGUUUCCGCUCGCACAGCAUUUAUCAAAAAUUAUUUUUAGGAUUAUGUUUUCUUUUAUAAGUCUGAAUUGGGAAUUUAUUUUAUAAAAUAGUCUUUUAUAUUUUUUAUUGUGAGUUUAUAUACAGCGUAAUGAACGUAAUAGUGAGAUGUUUCCAGUUACAAAAAACAUAUGUUAGAACAAUAAAUACUGAACAGUA